This 469-nucleotide ribosomal RNA is filed under the name Peripatidae. RNAcentral's name for it is "partial small subunit ribosomal RNA". Lineage: Eukaryota; Metazoa; Onychophora; Udeonychophora; Euonychophora. The record is from RNAcentral.
UAUGUACAUAUUAAUGAAAUUUUCAAUAUAAUAUUUUAAUUUAUAUUUACUAAUAAAUCCGUCUUAGCAAGUGUAUUACAAUAAAUAGUCUGAUUAUUAUAAUAUAUUAUUGUAGUUCAUUUUUUCUUAAAAAAACUGCACUAUGACCUGAUGUUUGGAAAUUUUUCUUUUGAUAAUUUUUUAAAUAAAAUCAAAUACGGUGGUAUACAAGAGAUUUUUAAGUAAGAUAAAUUGUGUAGUGUCCAUUUAAAAACAAACUCCUUUAUAAAAAUUAAUACCGUCAAAUUUUUUGGUUUGAGCUCUCUUGGGAUAGUAUAGAUAAGUAGAAUAGCAGGGUAUCUAAUCCUGGUUUUUAAUUACUAAAUAAAAUUAUAUUAAUUAAUAUUAUAAAUUUCACUUAGAAAAUUAAUUAUUAGAAUUUUUAUACCCAAUUAUAAUUAUUUAUAAUAACGUUUAACCGCUGCUGCUG